CUCUAACUCCUAACCCAAUGUGAACCAUACCAAACUGUUGCCUCGGCGGGGUCACGCCCCGGGUGCGUCGCAGCCCCGGAACCAGGCGCCCGCCGGAGGGACCAACCAAACUCUUUUCUGUAGUCCCCUCGCGGACGUUAUUUCUUACAGCUCUGAGCAAAAAUUCAAAAUGAAUCAAAACUUUCAACAACGGAUCUCUUGGUUCUGGCAUCGAUGAAGAACGCAGCGAAAUGCGAUAAGUAAUGUGAAUUGCAGAAUUCAGUGAAUCAUCGAAUCUUUGAACGCACAUUGCGCCCGCCAGUAUUCUGGCGGGCAUGCCUGUCCGAGCGUCAUUUCAACCCUCGAACCCCUCCGGGGGGUCGGCGUUGGGGAUCGGGAACCCCUAAGACGGGAUCCCGGCCCCGAAAUACAGUGGCGGUCUCGCCGCAGCCUCUCCUGCGCAGUAGUUUGCACAACUCGCACCGGGAGCGCGGCGCGUCCACGUCCGUAAAACACCCAACUUCUGAAAUGUUGACCUCGGAUCAGGUAGGAAUACCCGCUGAACUUAAGCAUAUCAAUAAGCGRARGAA
RNAcentral lists this ribosomal RNA (569 nucleotides) under Trichoderma sp. PPRI 14671. Its description in RNAcentral is "eukaryotic LSU rRNA". The record is from RNAcentral. Lineage: Eukaryota; Fungi; Ascomycota; Sordariomycetes; Hypocreales; Hypocreaceae.